This 208-nucleotide long non-coding RNA is filed under the name Elaeis guineensis (African oil palm). Its description in RNAcentral is "long non-coding RNA (EGUI_LNC061473)". The record is from RNAcentral. Lineage: Eukaryota; Viridiplantae; Streptophyta; Magnoliopsida; Arecales; Arecaceae.
UGCAACAAUGACACCGUCCUUGGAGUCCCUAAAAUCUACUCUAAAGAAGAGGUUGGGAUUAUCCAAUGGCAAGGCCUUGUCAUUGAAGAAGAAAUAGAGGGUGGCUGCUCCUCUACCCACACUGACAUCGAUCGUGAAAGUGGGGACCUCCAGCACUGAGCCACUGGAGAUCAACGAUGAGCUAGAGGUCAUCACCAUUGUGCCCUUG